This 381-nucleotide ribosomal RNA is filed under the name uncultured bacterium. RNAcentral describes it as "bacterial SSU rRNA". It matches the Rfam family "Bacterial small subunit ribosomal RNA", at positions 29 to 414 of the family's 1533-position model. The record is from RNAcentral.
AUUGAACGCUGGCGGAAUGCUUUACACAUGCAAGUCGAACGGUAGGGGGGCGAACCCCUGAGAGUGGCGAACGGGUGAGUGAUACAUCGGAACGUGCCCAGUCGUGGGGGAUAACGUAGCGAAAGCUACGCUAAUACCGCAUACGAUCUACGGAUGAAAGCGGGGGACUCGCAAGAGCCUCGCGCGAUUGGAGCGGCCGAUGGCAGAUUAGGUUGUUGGUGAGGUAAAGGCUCACCAAGCCGACGAUCUGUAGCUGGUCUGAGAGGACGACCAGCCACACUGGGACUGAGACACGGCCCAGACUCCUACGGGAGGCAGCAGUGGGGAAUUUUGGACAAUGGACGCAAGUCUGAUCCAGCCAUUCCGCGUGCAGGACGAAGG